This 21-nucleotide non-coding RNA is filed under the name Caenorhabditis elegans. The record is from RNAcentral. Lineage: Eukaryota; Metazoa; Nematoda; Chromadorea; Rhabditida; Rhabditidae.
UUGUAGGAAAAAUUAGAAGAC